GAAUUCGCCCUUAGAGUUUGAUCCUGGUGUCAGGAUGAACGCUAGCUACAGGCUUAACACAUGCAAGUCGAGGGGAAACGACAUCGAAAGCUUGCUUUUGAUGGGCGUCGACCGGCGCACGGGUGAGUAACGCGUAUCCAACCUGCCCAUCACUUGGGGAUAACCUUGCGAAAGUAAGACUAAUACCCAAUGAUAUCUCUAGAAGACAUCUGAAAGAGAUUAAAGAUUUAUCGGUGAUGGAUGGGGAUGCGUCUGAUUAGCUUGUUGGCGGGGUAACGGCCCACCAAGGCGACGAUCAGUAGGGGUUCUGAGAGGAAGGUCCCCCACAUUGGAACUGAGACACGGUCCAAACUCCUACGGGGGGCAGCAGUGAGGAAUAUUGGUCAAUGGGCGAGAGCCUGAACCAGCCAAGUAGCGUGCAGGAUGACGGCCCUAUGGGUUGUAAACUGCUUUUAUAAGGGAAUAAAGUGAGUCUCGUGAGACUUUUUGCAUGUACCUUAUGAAUAAGGACCGGCUAAUUCUGUGCCAGCAGCCGCGGUAAUACGGAAGGUCCGGGCGUUAUCCGGAUUUAUUGGGUUUAAAGGGAGCGUAGGCCGGAGAUUAAGCGUGUUGUGAAAUGUAGACGCUCAACGUCUGCACUGCAGCGCGAACUGGUUUCCUUGAGUACGCACAAAGUGGGCGGAAUUCGUGGUGUAGCGGUGAAAUGCUUAGAUAUCACGAAGAACUCCGAUUGCGAAGGCAGCUCACUGGAGCGCAACUGACGCUGAAGCUCGAAAGUGCGGGUAUCGAACAGGAUUAGAUACCCUGGUAGUCCGCACGGUAAACGAUGGAUGCCCGCUGUUGGUCUGAAUAGGUCAGCGGCCAAGCGAAAGCAUUAAGCAUCCCACCUGGGGAGUACGCCGGCAACGGUGAAAC
Molecule: ribosomal RNA, 915 nt
Filed under: uncultured bacterium
Lineage: Bacteria
Description: bacterial SSU rRNA
Rfam family: Bacterial small subunit ribosomal RNA
Source: RNAcentral